GCUUGUCUCAAAGAUUAAGCCAUGCAUGUCUCAGUACAAGCCAAAUUAAGGUGAAACCGCGAAAGGCUCAUUAAAUCAGUUAUGGUUCCUUAGAUCGUACCCACAAUUACUUGGAUAACUGUGGUAAUUCUAGAGCUAAUACAUGCAAACAGAGCUCCGACCGGAGACGGAAGGAGUGCUUUUAUUAGAUCAAAACCAAUCGGUGGCGGGUUCGCUCGUUAUCGUACAACUUGGUGACUCUGAAUAACUUUACGCUGAUCGCACGGUCAUCGCACCGGCGACGCAUCUUUCAAAUGUCUGCCUUAUCAACUGUCGAUGGUAGGUUCUGCGCCUACCAUGGUUGUAACGGGUAACGGGGAAUCAGGGUUCGAUUCCGGAGAGGGAGCCUGAGAAACGGCUACCACAUCCAAGGAAGGCAGCAGGCGCGCAAAUUACCCACUCCCGGCACGGGGAGGUAGUGACGAAAAAUAACGAUACGGGACUCAUCCGAGGCCCCGUAAUCGGAAUGA
RNAcentral lists this ribosomal RNA (509 nucleotides) under Trigonopterus sebelas. RNAcentral's name for it is "SSU rRNA". It matches the Rfam family "Eukaryotic small subunit ribosomal RNA", at positions 30 to 517 of the family's 1831-position model. The record is from RNAcentral. Lineage: Eukaryota; Metazoa; Arthropoda; Insecta; Coleoptera; Curculionidae.